UGGGGAAUAUUGGACAAUGGAGGAAACUCUGAUCCAGCAAUUCUGUGUGUGUGAAGAAGGUUUUAGGACUGUACAACACUUUUAGUAGGGAAGAAAAAAAUGACGGUACCUACAGAAGAAGCAACGGCUAAAUACGUGCCAGCAGCCGCGGUAAUACGUAUGUUGCGAGCGUUAUCCGGAAUUAUUGGGCUUAAAGGGCAUCUAGGCGGUAAGACAAGUUGAAGGUGAAAACCUGUGGCUCAACCAUAGGCUUGCCUACAAAACUGUUGAACUAGAGUACUGGAAAGGUGGGUGGAACUACACGAGUAGAGGUGAAAUUCGUAGAUAUGUGUAGGAAUGCCGAUGAUGAAGAUAACUCACUGGACAGAAACUGACGCUGAAGUGCGAAAGCUAGGGGAGCAAACAGG
This 407-nucleotide ribosomal RNA is filed under the name Verrucomicrobiota bacterium. RNAcentral describes it as "Verrucomicrobia bacterium partial 16S ribosomal RNA". It matches the Rfam family "Bacterial small subunit ribosomal RNA", at positions 355 to 776 of the family's 1533-position model. The record is from RNAcentral. Lineage: Bacteria; Pseudomonadati; Verrucomicrobiota.